UACGUAGGGUGCGAGCGUUAAUCGGAUUUACUGGGCGUAAAGCGUACGUAGGCGGCUUGUUAAGCAAGAUGUGAAAUCCCCGGGCUCAACCUGGGAAUUGCGCUUGUGACUGGCGGGCUCGAGUACGGUAGAGGGGGGUGGAAUUCCUGGUGUAGCAGUGAAAUGCGUAGAGAUCAGGAGGAACACCGAUGGCGAAGGCAGCCCCCUGGGCCUGUACUGACGCUCAUGCACGAAAGCGUGGGGAGCAAACAGG
RNAcentral lists this ribosomal RNA (253 nucleotides) under uncultured microorganism. RNAcentral's name for it is "partial 16S ribosomal RNA". It matches the Rfam family "Bacterial small subunit ribosomal RNA", at positions 524 to 776 of the family's 1533-position model. The record is from RNAcentral.